UUGGAUUGGGAGAAACUUAUGAUCUGACCCUCAGACCUAAGUUAUAACUGUACCGAGGUCCUCAGACUUAACACAGAGAAGUCCUAAAAUUUUACACAGAUACCCUCGGGUCAAAGAAAAAGAUACAACCGAGCCCUCGAGCGAGGCGGACAAGGGUCGGCAAAACAGACAGGGUCGGGCGAGACGGAAAAAGGGAUCGGGUGAGCCGGAAAGGGGUCGGCAGCUUACCUUUAGGCCUACGGGUGAAUUCUUGGGGUUGGGAAGGAACAGACUCAGGUGAAAGGACUUGAGGCACUAAGACUUGGGCGGCGGCGGCGUCCGGCGGUGCUCCAGCGGCGGCGGUGCGUCUUGUGGACAACAAGUAAGCUCUAGCACCGUGCGGAGGGAAACAGGCGGCUGGUGGGUUGGGAAAAGUGGGUGUUGAGCGGAGAGGGGAAGUUCCUCAAGAGCUUAUGCGACAGCGCUUGGGUGCAAACAGAGGAAGGUGCGGCGAGGCAAUGAUGGCGAAGGGAACUCCGGUAGAGGCUCUGGUACUCCCUUUUAUAGCUGCGCGGAAGAGAAAG
RNAcentral lists this long non-coding RNA (563 nucleotides) under Setaria viridis. Its description in RNAcentral is "long non-coding RNA (SVIR_LNC006809)". The record is from RNAcentral. Lineage: Eukaryota; Viridiplantae; Streptophyta; Magnoliopsida; Poales; Poaceae.